UGCCAAAGUUUUUGUUGUACAUGGUGGGGUUUUUUUACCAGAGUUUUGACAAUUGCUGGUUUAUCAAAGAUCUUUACGUUAAAUACAUGAUUAUUUUUUGCUAAGCUCUUUGAAAAAGUCGUUCAAGAAGUCAGAAAAGACGUUAACGAAAUGACGACCGUUACAGAAUGGCAUUGCGGAAAUUUUCGUUGCACAAGGUCGGGUUUCUCUUGGCGAAUUGUUGCCUCCAAUAUUAGCUGCUUUUUUGUCCAUCGUUUGUAUCUUUACUGUUUACUGAAAUAACUGCCGAAAGUUUGUGUAAGAACAUGUUACAUGUUACAUGUUCGUUCGCUGAAUCCCGGCUAUCGGGCUCAUAUAAAUAGUCCCUAAAACUAAAGGUAAGUUUGCUAAUUAAAAGAGAUCAAAUGUUAAUGCUAAUAAAUACAAUAAGAAAAUGAGAUGAAGAUAACAAUCUAGAGGGUUUAUCAAAUCAUUUUUGACAUCAGUGGACCUUUAGAAUUUGCAUGAUUCAGCUGUAGUUGUUCCCCAAGGAGACUUAAAUGUUUGGGAUUUGCUAUUUGCUGUAGCUGAAGUAUACGUUUUUUUUUAUAUUGUAUUAAAUUGCAUUUACCGCUCUAUGGGGAUUAAUUACUUCUAAGUGAUGAAUCAUGCAAAUUCUAAAUUUCACAAUGUACAAUUGACGACACACCUAGUAAAUGACCAAUCCGAACACAACAGUUUAGGACACACCUAGUAAAUGACCAAUAAGAACACAACACGUUUACAACACGCCUAGUCACUGACCAAUCAGAAUACAACACGUUCGUGAAACUUGGGCCAUAGUCUAAGACUAAGAACGUGCCAUUUGAACGUGAAAGUCUGUAGUUGCACGAAGAAUAGUUAGCCGAAGUCGAAAUUAUUCCACGGUGAAAUAUCUCUUGGAGUGCUUUGAAAAAUUGUUCAGACAUGGACAUUCUUCUCUUAAACGACAAUUAGUCAUCAAAUGAGAUUGAGAAACAACGAACAAAUGUUGGUGUAUUUACCAUGAUCGUAGACUCCACAAUUAAAGAAAGUGGUUAUUGUUCACAGCGGUUGAAGAGAAUUGUGGCUGUUGUCGACCAGUUCCUCGACGCUCAUCUAAACAUAAGAACAAAAUACAAUUCUGUAAUUUGGUUGAAAUUCUUCUUCCCUUGAACUACAUUACUAGUGAAUAAAAUGUUCAAUAAACCUUCUGAUCAAGAAUGGACAAUAUACGUACUUUAAUGAAAUCCUCUGAACAAUGAUCAAGAAUGAACAGCAUACUUUAAUGAAGUCCUCUGAAGAAUGCUCAAGAAUGAACAAUUUACUUUAACGAAGACCUCUGAACAAUUAUCAAGAAUGAACAAUAUACUUUAAUGAACUCUUCUGAACAAUGAUCAAGAAUGAACAAUAUACUUUAAUGAACUCUUCUGAACAAUGAUCAAGAAUGGACAAUAUACUUUGAUGAAAUUGAAAAAUACGUGACUUCUAAUGUCCUAAAGACCAUCUCUACAAAGAAUGCAAACGCUAAACACUCUUCUGGAGCAAUGCAUCCAUCAGCCUAACGCCUGUUU
Long non-coding RNA from Xenia sp. Carnegie-2017, 1571 nucleotides. RefSeq lists it as uncharacterized. NCBI's taxonomy places the organism in Eukaryota, Metazoa, Cnidaria, Anthozoa, Malacalcyonacea, Xeniidae. The record is from RefSeq and is a predicted model, not a curated record. The transcript is spliced from 3 exons.